Non-coding RNA from Paramisgurnus dabryanus, 388 nucleotides. The record is from RefSeq and is a predicted model, not a curated record. NCBI's taxonomy places the organism in Eukaryota, Metazoa, Chordata, Actinopteri, Cypriniformes, Cobitidae.
AUAUUAUAAUGAAGUAAUCGAAUUUGGUUAUCUGGUCUUCCUGAUGUUAGAACAUUUAUAUAAAAAACAUAUUUUAAAAUGUAUUUCUGUAACGUUUAAUUUCCUUUUUUGAUGAAAGUGUGUCUGUGUUCAUCAAGACAUGAAGACUCUGGAGUGGGACAAGAGAAGGAUGAUGGGGUGUAUAUUCCAAUAGACACAUUAAGUCACAUUGUGAUUUCAGUGAAAGCUGAUAAAUACAGAGGGCUGGACAGUGGUUUCAUUCAUUAGGUAAAGAGGUGGGACAAGGAUGCUGACAGGACAGGAGGAGGUGACAUUCAGGUUAGUGACAGUACAUCAGGGGCACCAUUUAAUUUAAUGUUAAUUUAAUUGCUUCCAAAAUCAAUACUUG